RNAcentral lists this transfer RNA (72 nucleotides) under Hungatella hathewayi. RNAcentral's name for it is "tRNA-Gly". It matches the Rfam family "tRNA". Rfam says of the family: Transfer RNA (tRNA) molecules are approximately 80 nucleotides in length. Their secondary structure includes four short double-helical elements and three loops (D, anti-codon, and T loops). Further hydrogen bonds mediate the characteristic L-shaped molecular structure. tRNAs have two regions of fundamental functional importance: the anti-codon, which is responsible for specific mRNA codon recognition, and the 3' end, to which the tRNAs corresponding amino acid is attached (by aminoacyl-tRNA synthetases). tRNAs cope with the degeneracy of the genetic code in two manners: having more than one tRNA (with a specific anti-codon) for a particular amino acid; and 'wobble' base-pairing, i.e. permitting non-standard base-pairing at the 3rd anti-codon position. Lineage: Bacteria; Bacillati; Bacillota; Clostridia; Lachnospirales; Lachnospiraceae. The record is from RNAcentral.
GCAGAUGUGGUCUAAUGGCUAAGACUCCAGCCUUCCAAGCUGGUUAUGCGGGUUCGAAUCCCGUCAUUUGCU